UCGUCCUACGGGACGCAGCAGUGGGGAAUAUUGGGCAAUGGAGGAAACUCUUACCCAGCAAUGCCGCGUGAAUGAAGAAGGUCUUCGGAUUGUAAAGUUCUUUAAUUGGGGACGAAAAAAAUGACGGUACCUGAGUAAGAAGCCCCGGCUAACUACGUGCCAGCAGCCGCGGUAAUACGUAGGGGGCAAGCGUUAUCCGGAUUUACUGGGUGUAAAGGGAGCGUAGACGGCAGUGCAAGUCUG
RNAcentral lists this ribosomal RNA (243 nucleotides) under uncultured bacterium. RNAcentral's name for it is "partial 16S ribosomal RNA". It matches the Rfam family "Bacterial small subunit ribosomal RNA", at positions 334 to 591 of the family's 1533-position model. The record is from RNAcentral.